RNAcentral lists this ribosomal RNA (468 nucleotides) under uncultured bacterium. RNAcentral describes it as "partial 16S ribosomal RNA". It matches the Rfam family "Bacterial small subunit ribosomal RNA", at positions 28 to 507 of the family's 1533-position model. The record is from RNAcentral.
GACGAACGCUGGCGGCGUGCUUAACACAUGCAAGUCGAACGGAAAGGCCCUGCUUUUGUGGGGUGCUCGAGUGGCGAACGGGUGAGUAACACGUGAGUAACCUGCCCUUGACUUUGGGAUAACUUCAGGAAACUGGGGCUAAUACCGGAUAGGAGCUCCUGCUGCAUGGUGGGGGUUGGAAAGUUUCGGCGGUUGGGGAUGGACUCUCGGCUUAUCAGCUUGUUGGUGGGGUAGUGGCUUACCAAGGCUUUGACGGGUAGCCGGCCUGAGAGGGGGACCGGCCACAUUGGGAAGGAGAUACGGCCAAGACUCCUACGGGAGGAAGCAGUGGGGAAUAGUGCACAAUGGGCGGAAGCCUGAUGCAGCAAUGCCGCGUGCGGGAUGACGGCCUUGGGGUUGUAAGCCGCUUUCGCCUGUGACGAAUAGUGAGUGACGGUAAUGGGUAAAGAAGCAACGGCUAAAUACGUG